AUUGGGAAAAUUGUUGUUCUAGUAUUUCACUGAAUGUUCCCACACUGUCCACAAUCAUGAGUUAUCCUCGAUUGAGAAUUCUAAAGCUAAAUUGGGCAAGAGUGGAAAACCUACCAAAUGCAAUAGCCAAAUUGAAACACUUGCGCUAUCUUGAUCUAACAAGCUCCCAAAUUCGCAUUCUCCCUCCUACUUUCUGCAACCUUUGGAAUCUGCAAAUUCUCAUCUUAAAUGAUUGCAUCCUUCUCGAAGCUUUGCCCAAGAAGAUCAAAUACAUGACGAAUCUUCGUCAUGUAUUCCUAGAUGGAUGCCUCAAGCUGAGUGACAUGCCUUGCGGAAUCAAGGAAUUGACUCAUCUGAAGACGCUCACUCUGUUCAUAGUGGGUAACAAAGCAGGAAAUCAGCUGGAUCAGUUGCAGUUGUUGAAGAUCGGAGGAAGGCUUGAAAUCCGACAUCUGGAGAGAGCAAAGAGCGAAUUGACGAGAGCAAAGCUAUUUGAGAAGCCAAACCUAGCUCAUUUAAUCCUCAAUUGGGAAGGCGACUCUGCGGAGGCAAUGGAUGAGAAGGUUCUGGAAGGCUUGGAACCUCAUCCGAAUCUCGAGUGUUUGCAAAUAAGUGGCUUCAGAGGAAGGUAUGCUCCAGUUUGGAUGAAGAAGAUGGAGAAUUUGAGUCAAGUGAACAUGAGAUUUUGCUGUCGCGUCUGCCAUUAAUCGGUGAUCUGCCUCGUCUAAAAUCUCUGUAUCUAUGGGGCAUUGAUGCGUUGGAGUAUAUAGUGGAUGAAAAUGGAAGUCGGAAUUCGAAAUUUGCAUCGUUAGAGCGGCUGAGGAUUGCGAAUUUGCCGAGUCUGAGAGGAGUGGUGGAGGGAGAUGCGGUGAUGGAGGUGUUCCAGAAUGUUCGAGAGCUGUACAUAAAGGAUUGCAAUUUGCGUGAUCUGGAUCUGCAUCUGCCAUCGCUGCGAUCGCUCAGAUUGUGGAACCUGUAUGAGCUUAGUGCGCUGCCGCGGGAGAUGGCGUCGCUGUCGGAGUUGGUGAUUCGGCAGUGCCCGAAGCUGGUGACGCUGCCGCCGUUGCGGAUGCCAAAGCUGGCGUCGCUUGCGAUAUUCGACUGCCCGCAGCUGGCGGCGCGAUGUGUGAAAGAGGAGGGUGAGGAGCGAGAGAAGAUUGCCCACAUUCCCCAUCUCUUGAUUAGGUAACGUUUCAACGCGGCGAAUGAAGCUUGAGAGGAGGGAAGGGUGACUGGCUCGCUUAGGAUGACUCCAUCCAUUUGUUUUUCCACGUGGCGGAAUCCGACUAAUCUGCCCGACCGGGUUGCGGAUUAAAGCCGAAAGUCUCCAGCGAGUGGCACAGCGGCG
Salvia splendens (bonfire salvia) is the source of this 1348-nucleotide RNA transcript. It is a transcript of the gene named putative disease resistance protein RGA3, with no coding region annotated. The record is from RefSeq and is a predicted model, not a curated record. NCBI's taxonomy places the organism in Eukaryota, Viridiplantae, Streptophyta, Magnoliopsida, Lamiales, Lamiaceae. The transcript is spliced from 2 exons.